Molecule: long non-coding RNA, 699 nt
Organism: Melanotaenia boesemani (Boeseman's rainbowfish)
Lineage: Eukaryota; Metazoa; Chordata; Actinopteri; Atheriniformes; Melanotaeniidae
Exons: 4
Source: RefSeq, a predicted model, not a curated record
CGUUACUGUGGGCUUUAAACGCACCGUGGCUGUACUGAUCACACGCUGCAGUUGAUUAAACAUCUUGGAUAAAAUCACCACAAAAUCAGGCCAAGCAAACAAUAAAUAGCCAUAAUGAUAAAAAGGAAGAAAAGGAUUCAUCCUACUGAGGAGGCAAAGUUAUACAUACAGUCUUCUACGGACAAGCCAGGGUUUAUAGAAAGAUUUAUCGAUAGUUGCAAAGGAAGAGGAGUAUUCGCUGCCCAGCCCAUUGAACCAGGCACCUUUGUCUUGGAGUACAGAGGUGAGCUAAUAUCUGUGGAGGAAUGCCGGUCCAGAUGUUACUCAGAGAGAGAGAGUACAUUUCUCUUUGAAUUUGAAUGGCAGAAUCGUCGGUGGUGUAUUGAUGCAUCCAAAGAGGAUAAAUCCCUUGGAAGAUUGGUUAAUGACAACCACAGAUCUCCAAACUGCACCAUGAAAAAAAUUGUGGUGAAUGGAAGACCACAUUUGUGCCUGUUUUCUGUAGUGAAAAUAGAAGUAGGGACUGAAAUUAAUUACAACUAUGGGGAUUCUAAAUCGUUAGCUUCAUAGCAUAAUUGCCUAAGUCAUAUUUGAAGGUUUUCCAAGCAAUGAUUCACAGUCUAUCAGCAAUAUUAGCAGCGCACAGUUAGACAGAUAUAACAAUUUAGCUGAAAUGUGACUUAGGCAAUUAUGCUAUGA